GAUCAUGGCUCAGGAUGAACGCUGGCGGCGUGCUUAACACGUGCAAGUCGAACGAAGCACUUUAUUUGAUUUCUUCGGAAUGAAGAUUUUGUGACUGAGUGGCGGGCGGGUGAGUAACGCGUGGGUAACCUGCCUCAUACAGGGGGAUAACAGUUGGAAACGACUGCUAAUACCGCAUAAGCGCACAGGGUCGCAUGACCUGGUGUGAAAAACUCCGGUGGUAUGAGAUGGACCCGCGU
RNAcentral lists this ribosomal RNA (239 nucleotides) under uncultured bacterium. Its description in RNAcentral is "partial 16S ribosomal RNA". It matches the Rfam family "Bacterial small subunit ribosomal RNA", at positions 15 to 236 of the family's 1533-position model. The record is from RNAcentral.